UAGAACGGGCCAACGAGUUACGUUAAGUAGCAAGGUUAAGCACUUAAGGUGUGGAGCCGUAGCGAAAGCGAGUUUUAACUGAGCGUUCAGUUACUUGACGUAGACCCGAAACCGGGCGACCUACCCAUGAGCAGGAUGAAGCGAAAGUAAAAUUUCGUGGAGGUCCGAACCCACGAGCGUUGAAAAGCUCGGGGAUGACUUGUGGGUAGCGGUGAAAUUCCAAUCGAGCCCGGAGAUAGCUGGUUCUCCCCGAAAUAGCUUUAGGGCUAGCCUCAAGGUGAGAGAUACGGAGGUAGAGCACUGAAUGUCCUAGGGGGUAUUGCACCUACCGAAGACUAUCAAACUCCGAAU
This 351-nucleotide ribosomal RNA is filed under the name Clostridioides difficile. RNAcentral's name for it is "bacterial LSU rRNA". It matches the Rfam family "Bacterial large subunit ribosomal RNA", at positions 611 to 961 of the family's 2925-position model. The record is from RNAcentral. Lineage: Bacteria; Bacillati; Bacillota; Clostridia; Peptostreptococcales; Peptostreptococcaceae.